This 207-nucleotide ribosomal RNA is filed under the name uncultured bacterium. RNAcentral's name for it is "partial 16S ribosomal RNA". It matches the Rfam family "Bacterial small subunit ribosomal RNA", at positions 568 to 774 of the family's 1533-position model. The record is from RNAcentral.
AGCACAGACGGUUUAUUAAGUCUGAUGUGAAAGCCCGGAGCUCAACUCCGGAAUGGCAUUGGAAACUGGUUAACUUGAGUGCAGUAGAGGUAAGUGGAACUCCAUGUGUAGCGGUGGAAUGCGUAGAUAUAUGGAAGAACACCAGUGGCGAAGGCGGCUUACUGGACUGCAACUGACGUUGAGGCUCGAAAGUGUGGGUAGCAAACA